AUGUCGAUUGGUGCUAAAUCAAGAACAAAGUCGAUGUGGCAUCCAAUUAUAGACAAAGUGAGAUCCAGAGUGUCGAGGUGGAAUAACAAGCAAAUAUCAAUUGGUGGUCGAGUUGUUGUUAUAAAAUCGGUCUUGUCAGCACUUUCAAUCUACUUUUACUCUUUAUUUAAGGUUUUGUCAGGAAGUCAUCAUCUUGGAAGUGGUUGA
Molecule: non-coding RNA, 207 nt
Organism: Vicia faba (fava bean)
Lineage: Eukaryota; Viridiplantae; Streptophyta; Magnoliopsida; Fabales; Fabaceae
Source: the annotation of a GenBank genome assembly